AUGGCAAUGGGUCCAAGACCCGACCCAGAUUCGGUUGGACCCGGUCCAUUUUUAUGGGUCUGGGUCCAAGAAAAUUAGACCCAAUGGAUCUGGGUCGGAUCUGGAUCUAUGAGUUGUGGGUCGGGUCUGGAUCUGGGUCCAAAAGUUCCAGACCCAGAUCCGACCCAGAUCCGAUAUGGGAUCCGAACUUUUUUUUAAAAAUAAAAUAAAUUCUCUUUUAGUUUAAUCUAACCUAAUUAAAUAACCUAAAGAACAAAUUCUCUAAAAACUUAAAUCGCCGCGUCUACUGAACCCUUCGUCCCCUACCCCCCUCUCUCUUCGCAAUCUCUGAUGAUGGUCAUUGGUCCGACUAACCAGAAGUCGAUGUCGUCCAUGUAAAUCCAGUCCAUGUAAACCAGAAUUUGGCAAAGAAAUUAAGGAUCUGCUACCUUUCCAGAGGAUCUUGAUGAUGAUAUAGAGGAUUAAGAGAUAUAGAGGAUUAAGAGCAUAUUGGACGAUGAAAAUUGGUGCGAUGGUGCAAGCUACUAAGUUAUUGUGUGAUGAUUUGCACUUUGCUAAUUAUUUCCUUGAGUUUGUAGCUUUGUACUAACUAUUUUCUAAUAUUUGAAGGGAAUGCAAAUGUAUUCGACUAGAA
This is a long non-coding RNA of Spinacia oleracea (spinach), 634 nucleotides long. RefSeq lists it as uncharacterized. The transcript has 2 exons. Lineage: Eukaryota; Viridiplantae; Streptophyta; Magnoliopsida; Caryophyllales; Amaranthaceae. The record is from RefSeq and is a predicted model, not a curated record.